CCGCACCGCUGGCCAACCCUGAUCUUCUGUGAAGGGUUCGAGUUGGAGCACACCUAUCGGGACCCGAAAGAUGGCGAACUAUGCCUGAGCGCGGCGAAGCCAAAGGAAACUCUGGUGGAGGCUCGAAGCGAUACUGAAGUGCAAAUUGUUCGUCUGACUUGGGUAUAGGGGCGAAAGACUAAUCGAACCAUCUAGUAGC
This 199-nucleotide ribosomal RNA is filed under the name Oryza sativa Indica Group (long-grained rice). RNAcentral describes it as "28S ribosomal RNA". It matches the Rfam family "Eukaryotic large subunit ribosomal RNA", at positions 753 to 951 of the family's 3401-position model. The record is from RNAcentral. Lineage: Eukaryota; Viridiplantae; Streptophyta; Magnoliopsida; Poales; Poaceae.